This 254-nucleotide ribosomal RNA is filed under the name uncultured bacterium. RNAcentral's name for it is "partial 16S ribosomal RNA". It matches the Rfam family "Bacterial small subunit ribosomal RNA", at positions 524 to 776 of the family's 1533-position model. The record is from RNAcentral.
UACGUAGGCAGCGAGCGUUGUUCGGAGUUACUGGGCGUAAAGGGUGUGUAGGCGGUUGUUUAAGUUUGGUGUGAAAUCUCCCGGCUCAACUGGGAGGGUGCGCCGAAUACUGAAUGACUUGGAGUGUGGGAGAGGUGAGUGGAAUUCCUGGUGUAGCGGUGAAAUGCGUAGAUAUCAGGAGGAACACCGGUGGUGUAGACGGCUCACUGGACCAUAACUGACGCUGAGACACGAAAGCGUGGGUAGCGAACAGG